UAAUAUUAUAUACUUAUCAUACAAUUGAUAUUGUCCGUUCGAUAUAUUUUAAAAUUCCUCCUUGAAUGAAUGAAGAGAUUUUAUUGUGCUGUUUUCUUAUUAAUUAGCACACAAGGAAGGGGGAAAAAAACAAGAGGUACAAAACAAACCACAACAGGAUUCAACCAAAAUAACCAAUUGUUGACUCGUGCACAAGAGGACAAACUACCCGUUCCCACGCGGUUUUGAGCCUAACCAAACGGUCGAAGUCGAUUGAACCAAACCAACCGGCAAUUGGGUUGGAAGGGAACAGUUAAGGUCCCACCGAAUGGCUAAAAACAUGAAGAUCAUGCGGCUCAAAUUCCUCUCGUCACCAAAAUUUAAAUUUCUGUAGCAGACAGGGUUCUAUUUUGGGCCCCACCAUUCAACAGCUGGUGGAUAAAUUAUUGAGAGGACUCACUCAUUGAGCAUGUUAGUGCCUUGUAUUUUCAUUGGAUGUUUGAAAAACUCUUCAAUCCAGUCGGUGAAUGUGAGUCAGGGUUUGAUGCCAGCUGUAACAUCAACUGCCCAACUGCUUCUUGCUAAAGUUGCAUCACAAGGUACACCAUAACACUCCAAAAUCCAUAAAUAUCGCCACGUGGGCGGCUAGGAUGCAAUGAUGAUAUCAGUUCCGUUCAGAUUACCGGGCUUUAAUACCCCAGUCUAUGUUAAGCGCGUGCUCUUUUACGAGCCAUUCACCAGCUAAUUUACCAUUUCUUUUCACUAUAUCAUCACGUUUCGUGCAAAUUCAUUUAGUCUCUGGAAAGCAUAAAAUAAAGAGAGGCAAAUUCAAAUUGUUAAAUCUUUUAUAAAGUCGUAUAUAAGCUGUGGAAAGUUUAUGAGGGUCAAAGUAUUUUUUCUUAUAGAAUUAAAUUAAUGUUUGCAAAAGUUCGAGUGCGCAUUUCUUUGUGAUGAGAUCAUUUACACUCUAAAAACUACUCUAAUACUCUCGUUUUAAUAAAAUAAUUUAUUAUAAAAUUAUUCAUUAUGUGAAUUAUUAUUAAGAAUAAUUUAUUUAUGAGCCAAUGUAACUUAAUUACUUUAAACACUAACAUAGCACCCUCACUAUUCAACAUAUAAUCAUCUUACCACGGACUUUUAAAUUUUUUUUAACAUCUUAAAAAAACACUUCGUUCAAUCUGUAGUAAAUUAAUAUUUUAAAUUAUUUUGAGGACAAAGUAUUUGUGACCCUCAUAUUUUUCAAAAAAUAAAAUAAACUAAAAAUAUUGGAAAGGUGCUCAUAUUUUUUGUCUUUAAUUUAAAAAAAUUAAAAUCUCUUUAAAACCACUAAUCCAGUCGGCAUCUUCUUCUUCUUCUUCUUCUUCUUCUUCUUUGUGUGAUACUGUGAUAUGACAAUUUGUUUUCUAGUUAUUAUUGCGAGUCAAUAAAAGUCCAUACUUCUUGAUCUUAAAGACUUUGAGGGUGUAAAAAUUAAUAUUGAAUACAUUUUUUAAUUAACCAAAACUAAUAAGUAAACUUUUUUUAAAUAAUUUAUUUGAAACUUGACUUAAUUCCAUUGUUGUAAGUUAUGUUAAAUUUCUUGAAAAUUUUAUUCGAGCAUGUUGAAUAAUUUUAUUAGUAUUUUAAGUAAACUAAU
Molecule: long non-coding RNA, 1615 nt
Filed under: Citrus x clementina
Lineage: Eukaryota; Viridiplantae; Streptophyta; Magnoliopsida; Sapindales; Rutaceae
Description: Citrus clementina (C. clementina) long non-coding RNA (CCLE_LNC003100)
Source: RNAcentral